This 28-nucleotide non-coding RNA is filed under the name Mus musculus (house mouse). The record is from RNAcentral. Lineage: Eukaryota; Metazoa; Chordata; Mammalia; Rodentia; Muridae.
AGAGGAUGUAUGUUCGCUCUGAUUUGCC